RNAcentral lists this long non-coding RNA (6644 nucleotides) under Sus scrofa (pig). Its description in RNAcentral is "lncRNA (ENSSSCG00015009400.1)". The record is from RNAcentral. Lineage: Eukaryota; Metazoa; Chordata; Mammalia; Artiodactyla; Suidae.
CGGACCCUUCCUCGCCUCCUCUUCAUUCUUCUGCCUGGAUGGAAAAGACUCUCAGGGCUCCAGCUCAAGCCCAAGCAACUGCCCUCUGCUGAUCCUCCCAGAAGACGCUUCUGGAGGGUUUCGCUGAUGUCUGGAAGAGCCACUGCGGGGUGGCAGGGGGCAGACUCUAGGAAAUAUACUGGCUUAUUCUGUUCCGAUUUCCUUUUCUGCUUCUCAAGGAUAGGUCUGAGAGGUUGUGAGGGACCCUAUUUCGGAAUCAUGGCAGUUGUAUGCCUCUUGUAGAUUCUGGGAACUCAAGGGAGGAACCCGGGGGCCUCAAAUGUGUGAAUUUCCAAGAAUCUUUAAGACCUCUGGCAGAUCAGGGAGGGCCCGGGUGAGGCAAGGAGCGUGACGGGAGCUGCGGAGCUGCGGGCGUCUGCCUGGCCUGAUGGUGGGUGGGUGGCUGCAUCCUCCUGAAGGGUCUUGGAAGGGCAGUCUUCCUCCCUGGCGGGGGAGCCAGAGGGCUCCCCUGGGGCAGUCUAAGAGGCCAUGACUCCUUUUGCAUCUGAGGGUCGAUGAUGCUCUUCUAAGAUAGGAAGGAGAGGGUCUUUCUGGGCGUGACUGAGAAACACCCUGAAGUUUAGUGAUUCUUUUUUUUUUUAAUGAUGAUUUUUAUUUUUUCCAUUAUAGCUGGUUUACAGUGUUCUGUCAAUUCUCCACUGUACAGCAAGGCGACCCAGUCACCAUACAUGCAUACAUUCCUUUUUCUCACAGUACCAUGCCCCAUCAUAAGUGACUAGAUACAGUUCUCAGUGCUAUACAGCAGGAUCUCAUUGCUUAUCCAUUCCAAAGGCGAGAGUCUGCAUCUAUUAACCCCAAAGUCCCCGUCCAUCCCGCUCCCUCCCCCUUCCCCUUGGCAACCACAAGUCUGUUCUCCAAGUCCAUGAUUUUCUUUUCUGUGGAAAGUUUCCUUUGUGCCAUAUAUUAGAUUCCAGUUAUAAGUGAUAUCAUAUGGUAUUUGUCUUUCUCUUUCUGACUGACUUCACUCAGUAUGAGAGUCUCCAGUUCCAUAGUUGAGUGAUGCUUAAAUUGUUCUAAGCCCGUGGUUCUCAACGAGACUCAUAGCGGGAAACCACUGAGCGGAGUUCCCAGGCUAGGGGUCCAAUUGGAGCUGUAGCCGCCAGCCGACAAUGCAGCCACAGCAACACAGGAUCCAAGCCACAUCUGCGACCUACACCACAGCUCAUGGCAAUGCCGGAUCCUCAACCCACUGAGCGAGGCCAGGGAUCAAAUCUGCAACCUUAUGGUCCCUAGUCGGAUUUGUUUCUGCUGCGCCACAAUGGGAACUCCUGGAGAGAGAUUUCUAAAGAGUUGGAGAGGUGAAUCCCAGACUAGCCAGUGGGCCAGAAGCAAGCAAUGGUGGGCUGAACAACACAUGGAUCCUUCACUGGCCAAAGUGUGUCUGGAGUAGAUGGAUGAAGCUAGAGCGAAUGCAGACCCUUCACCGCCCAGAGAUGGCAGGAACUAAGAGAAUAAACCACACUGUGGGGCUCUUGGAUGCUAUACUUUUUCGUGGUCCUGGAAGCAUCCAUUUCCACAUAUUUCCCUUUGCACCUUUCCUUUGCAGUGUGGCCAUUGCAAAGAAAGAUCCGCUUUGGGAGUAGGCAAGGUAUUAUCCCUAAAGAUGUAGCUAGGGGACAGGACCCCAGGUCCUUGGUGGUGGCCAGACUGUGGCAGAGGGAAACUGGACCCAGUUCUGGCUCAGCCAGGUACCCCCCGUUAUGGAGUGCCUUGUCCACUGGGAACAGUGGUUAAAGCCACAGUCGGACUAGCUAGUGAUGACUGCGGUUAUCAGAGAUGAUUGGCCACUCCACACUGUUCAGUUUCCAGAGUUGGUGGGUUACUGGUGGUCCCAUUCUCAUGUCUCCACCAAAGUUCCAAAUAGGCAGAGUUGUCCCAUCAGCCAGCAGGAAUAUGCACAGCCACCUCCUGCUGGGUCCUCACCGCCCCCCCCCCCCCCAGGUGCUGAUAGCUUUGCGGUGGAUGGUGUCAGCCAAUCAGCCAGCGCUUCCCCACCCCAGCAACACUCUUGACUUUUCUUAGCCUCAUCUCUCCUGUUACCCUUCUUAACACCUUCAUUCCAACUUAAUCUCAUCCUCACCUCUUCCCUUUCCUGCAAAAAACACAGGAAAGUCAUGCAACCCUCCCUUUCUUAGGAGUCUGGAAAUCCAGCUGCUAUUUUGCUUUUUUAUGGAAUUGAGGCUUUGAGGGGUAAAAAGUUGGAACACAUUUAUAGAGGGAGGGGGACCUGCUCUGGGGCUGGGGAAUGAAAGAGUUAGAAAGACAUCGUGUCAUGCCCUUGCUCUCAGUGGACAAGAUGUUUAAGUUAUUUGAAGAGGAGUGAUGCCUGGCUUGCUUUCCUCAUCCCAGCAAUCUCAGUUCCACAAUUCUGGUGUUUAUUGAGUGUCUCUUGUAAGCCGGGUACGGGGCCGGGGCCCGGGGUUCAGCAAAUAUGGCCCCACCUUCAGGGAGCUAAUUAAUAGUCCAUCCUCGGGACAUCUUUGCUCGGGCGUCAUUCUGCCCAAUGGGUUUCCAAACCCUCUAGUCCCUCUCCGUUCUUACUUUCAUUGGGUUCAAUGCCAGCUGUCCGCACGAGGUGGGGUCCUUUGGGGAGAGAAUUGGUAGGAUUUUUUUGGAGGCCAGAGGGUAUUGGGAGAGGGGUGCGCAUGCUCUUAAACCCCAGGUUUAAGAGAGAAAGAGUCUUGGGCCGAGACAGGAAGAGGCAGGUGCAUUUGCUUUUUUUGCAGACCUCACUGAUUUGGUGCAGCCAAUUAAGGGGAAGAAAGCGGGAGCAGACAGGCUCUGCCUGCGUGGUGAGCUUUGCCUGAUGCGCCUGUGCUCUUCUCCUCCAUCUACGGCACAAGUUCAGCUCAGAUCGAUGCCAAGCUCGGUAAUUUAUUUAUGAAAUUAUAUAGCCCUUCCUCAAGUAACAUUUUACUUUUAUUUUAUUUCAUCUCCCAGAUCCCCACAGUGAAAGCAGAAGUUAUUUCCUCACAGGUAACAGCCUUUUGACACUCAUUCAUAUAAAUGGAAGGGAGAAUGGGGGAAAAUACCCCUAGUACGUGGCCGAUCCGGAGGCUAAGGCGUGAUGAUAGUUUAAGGGUUUCUGUCUCCAUUGGAUUCAGUCUCGACCUGGAAACCUGGGACGUUAACCCUCGCAGGCCCUUUUUUUCACUCCGUGGAACCAACGGUGACAGUCCCGAGUCCCGAGGACCACCUGUCACGGGGGAGGGCUGGACACCUCUGGCCCUCUGCGCGCUUACAUCCACCUCCGUGCUCUUUAUUUGCUGCGGAACUUCCUGGCUUGUGUUCUGAGGCCCCAGGAUCGAUGGUUAUGAACAAAGGACGCGGCGCGCUCUCUCCGUGCCCCAAGCAAAGUUGGUGCUGCCAGCCCACAUCACUUGGAGAAUCUCUGAUGUCACAGCAUGGGGUGACCUCCCUCUGCCCGGGAGCUUGUCCCCCUGCUGAAUCACGUGCUGCCCUGAGUGGAUUAGUCCAGUGGCAGGUUCUGUACUCUCCCCCGAAGUUCUCUCUCCUCUGGGAGUCUUCUGGGUUGGAGGGGCCACCAUCACUGACUUCACACCGAGGCCUUUCUUGGAGCGGGUCUCAGGGCUACCGGGAGGAGGUGCCGGUUGUGGCUUAGACCCACGAGUCUCUGUCCCUCUAUGUUUGGGUUCCUUUGUUCAAAACAACAGCGUCAGAGUUCCCGCUGUGGCUCAGCUGGUAGUGUCUGAGGAUGGGGGUUCAAUCCUUGGCCUUGCUCAGAGGGUUAAGGAUCAGCUGUUGCUGCAAGCUGUGGUGUAGGUCACAGAUGUGGCUCGGAUCCCUGUGUUGCUGUGGCUGUGCUGUAGGCUGGCAGCUGCAGCUCUGAUUCAACCCCUAGCCUGGGACCUCACAUGUGCCGCAGGUAUGUCCCUAAGAAGAAAAAAACAGGUCUAAACAAAACUCCAGUGUCAUCUUUGGUUCUUCCUUCUCCUUCAUCCCAACUCAGUUACUGACCAAACAUACUGUACUUUCCUCCUCAUUUGUUCUUUUUUUUUUUUUUCUUUUUUUUGGGUCUUUUUAGGGUCACAUCCGUGGCAUCUGGAGGCUCCCAGGCUAGAGGUCUCAUCGGCCUCUGCCACAGCCUCAGCAACGCGGGAUCUGAGCCGCGUCUGCAACCUCCACCACAGCUCACAGCAACGCCGGAUCCUUAACCCACUGUGGGAGGCCGGGAUCAAAGCCACAACCUCAUGGUUCCUGGUCGGAUUCGUUUCCGCUGUGCCACGGAGGGAACUCCCUCCUUCGUCUGGUUUUCUCCCCGUGUUCUACUUCCUGUCUGUGGCUUCCGGUCGGGGGUGCACCCCACUUCCCGCCUGCCCUGCCUUCUUCAUCUCACCGCCUCAGCCCUGUUCAGAUGUGUUUACCUCUUCUCCGCGAGUCUGAUAACACCUGUUCACUUUCUUUCCCGCUUUUGGUCUCAUUCCCUCCAGUGUGUUUGGCACUGAAGUGCCCAAUUCAUCUCCUUCAAGUAUAGCUUUCAGGUUACCGCUCUCUUGCUCAAGAAUCUUCAAUGGCUCCCCACAGAUUAUGGACCAUCUUUCCGCUUAAACCUGGCGUUCAAAGUUAUCCAUGUUUUGGAAUCAGCUUAUAAUUGGCUAUAUCUUUAACUUUCGCCCUAACGUAAAUCCAGCAUUGCAAUCAAAUCCCAUAUGAUUUAUGCGCCUCUGCUUCUGGUAAUGGCAGACUAGGUAAUUCAGACUGACCCCCCUUCUGAGGAAAAUUGGAAAGUUAUUUGCAGAAGUAUUCUUGAAGACAUAUGAAAGCUAACGAAAUGGUGUUUUGUUUGUUUGUUUGUUUGUUUUUUGCCACACCUGUGACACGUAGAAGGUCCAGACCAGAGAUUGAACCCUUGCCACAGCAGUGACCCAAACCACCCCAGCGACACCACCCGAUCCCUGACCCCCUGCACCACAAGAGAACUCCAAGUGGUGAAUUUUUACAGGACCUUUUUAUUUUAUUCUAUUUUUAUUUACUCUUUAUUUUGGCUGGAUAUUUUCCAUAUCCAGUGGCAUAUGGAAUUCCUGGGCCAGGGAUCAGAUCCGAACUGCAGUUGCAACCUAAGUGGUAGCUGCAGCAAUGCUGGAUCCUUAACCCACUCUGCCUGGUUGGGGACUGAACCUGCAUCCCAGUGCUUCCAGGACACCCCCAAUCCCAUUGCACCAUAGGGCCAAUUUUAGAAGAAGAGGGAAAUCAGGAAAUAAGUUACUAGAGGGGGUGGGACUUUUUGCUGGUUUCUAGAGAGGCAGCUGAGGGUGUAAGAAUUGUAUUUCAUAGCCUCAUGUGGUUAGGAGACAAAAGCUGGGGUUCAAAGGCUGUCGGAAUGGGUUGAGACUUAUAAGUAUACCCACCUUUGCAAGUUCUGAAGUUCAGCUUUGAACCAUGUAACUAAGAACAAUCUCAGUUCCUGAAAUGGAACUAAUGUUACACCGUAUUUUGCAAGAUAGUCCCCUGGCUGAAGCAUUAGAAAACCGUCCGGAGGAGAAUUACAUUAUCCUAGUUAGAAAACUAUUCCUAUACACAAAUCUUUGAAUGCAAUGUCCAGCAUACAAUCAAAGGGAAGUUAGCACACAAGGAAACAGUUAAACAUGAACAAGAACCAGCAGAAAUGAUAGAGUUGCAGGUUUUCUGGAUACUGCAGUUAUCAGGCACUAGCUUUAAAAUAACCUUGCUUACUAUUUUCAAGUAGAAAUAAGACAAGAUUAAAAAACCUGGCAGCAAGUUAGAAACUGUAAAGACUCUAUAGUAGAUUUGAAACAAGAACCAGAAAGAUACACCACAACUGAAAAAUACAACUGAAAUUAAGAACUCAAUGGAUGGAUUUUAAAAGAAUUUAGACAUAGCCAAAGGGGUAAUUAACAAAGUAGGGGACAGGGCAAAAGAAAGCAUCCAAAAUGAAGGAUAAAAAAUAAGAAAAGGGACAGAUGGUCAGUAGGUACAUGAAAAGAUGCUCAGCAUCAGUAAUUAUUAGAGAAAUGCAAAUCACAACUGCAGUGCAGUAUCACCUCACAUCGGUCAGAUUGGCCAUCAUUAAAAAGGUCUACAGGAGGAGUUCCCGUCGUGGCGCAGUGGUUAACAAAUCCGACUAGGAACCAUGAGGUUGCGGGUUCGAUCCCUGCCCUUGCUCAGUGGGUUAAGGAUCCAGCAUUGCCGUGAGCUGUGGUGUAGGUCACAGAUGUUGCUUGGAUCCCGCGUUGCUGUGGCUGUGGCGUAGGCCGGCGGCUACAGCUCUGAUUGGACCCCUAGCCUGGGAACCUCCAUAUGCCGCGGGAGUGGCCCUAGAAAAGGCAAAAAGACAAAAAAAAAAAAAAAAAGUCUACAGGGGUUCUCGUUGUGGAGCAGGGGAAACAAAUCUGUCUAGUAUCCAUGAGGAAUGUGGGUUCUAUCCCUGGCCUUGCUCAGUAUGUCAGGGAUCCGUCAUUGCCGUGAGCUGCAGUGUAGGUUGCACUCGCAGCUUGGAUCCUGUGUUGCUGUGGCUGUGGCUGUGGCAGCAGCUGUAGCUCCGAUUCCACCCCUAGCCUGGGAACCUCUGUAUGGUGUGAGUGAGGCCCUAAAAAGAAAAAAAA